RNAcentral lists this ribosomal RNA (808 nucleotides) under Amnibacterium sp. RNAcentral's name for it is "bacterial SSU rRNA". It matches the Rfam family "Bacterial small subunit ribosomal RNA", at positions 46 to 867 of the family's 1533-position model. The record is from RNAcentral. Lineage: Bacteria; Bacillati; Actinomycetota; Actinomycetes; Micrococcales; Microbacteriaceae.
GCUUACCAUGCAAGUCGAACGGUGAUGCGGAGCUUGCUCCGCUGAUCAGUGGCGAACGGGUGAGUAACACGUGAGUAACCUGCCCUUGACUCCGGGAUAAGCGUUGGAAACGACGUCUAAUACUGGAUACGACCCGUGGAGGCAUCUCCUGCGGGUGGAAAGAACUUCGGUCGAGGAUGGACUCGCGGCCUAUCAGCUUGUUGGUGAGGUAAUGGCUCACCAAGGCGACGACGGGUAGCCGGCCUGAGAGGGUGACCGGCCACACUGGGACUGAGACACGGCCCAGACUCCUACGGGAGGCAGCAGUGGGGAAUAUUGCACAAUGGGCGCAAGCCUGAUGCAGCAACGCCGCGUGAGGGACGACGGCCUUCGGGUUGUAAACCUCUUUUAGCAGGGAAGAAGCGGAAGUGACGGUACCUGCAGAAAAAGCACCGGCUAACUACGUGCCAGCAGCCGCGGUAAUACGUAGGGUGCAAGCGUUGUCCGGAAUUAUUGGGCGUAAAGAGCUCGUAGGCGGUUUGUCGCGUCUGCUGUGAAAACGCGAGGCUCAACCUCGCGCCUGCAGUGGGUACGGGCAGACUGGAGUGUGGUAGGGGAGAUUGGAAUUCCUGGUGUAGCGGUGGAAUGCGCAGAUAUCAGGAGGAACACCGAUGGCGAAGGCAGAUCUCUGGGCCAUUACUGACGCUGAGGAGCGAAAGCGUGGGGAGCGAACAGGAUUAGAUACCCUGGUAGUCCACGCCGUAAACGUUGGGAACUAGAUGUGGGGUCCAUUCCACGGAUUCCGUGUCGCAGCUAACGCAUUAAGUUC